GCAGCNACGCCGCGUGUGGGAGGACGCCCCUAGGGGUGUAAACCACUGUUGCCCGGGACGAAUCCUGGAUUAGUUCCAGGUUGACGGUACCGGGUGAGGAAGCACCGGCUAACUCCGUGCCAGCAGCCGCGGUAAUACGUAGGGGGCAAGCGUUGUCCGGAAUCACUGGGCGUAAAGCGCGCGCAGGCGGCUGUCUACGUCCGGGGUGAAAGCCCANAGCUCAACUCUGGGACUGCCUUGGAUACGGGAUGGCUUGAGGAUCGGAGAGGCAAGGGGAAUUCCACGUGUAGCGGUGAAAUGCGUAGAGAUGUGGAGGAACACCUGUGGCGAAGGCGCCUUGCUGGCCGAUUUCUGACGCUGAGGCGCGAAAGCGUGGGGAGCAAACAGGAUUAGAUACCCUGGUAGUCCACGCCGUAAACGAUGAGUGCUAGGUGUUGGGGGGUACCACCCUCAGUGCCGAAGCUAACGCAUUAAGCACUCCGCCUGGGGAGUACGGUCGCAAGACUG
This 507-nucleotide ribosomal RNA is filed under the name uncultured bacterium. RNAcentral's name for it is "bacterial SSU rRNA". It matches the Rfam family "Bacterial small subunit ribosomal RNA", at positions 388 to 896 of the family's 1533-position model. The record is from RNAcentral.